This is an unclassified non-coding RNA of Mesocricetus auratus (golden hamster), 256 nucleotides long. Its record names the gene 7SK. It matches the Rfam family "7SK RNA". From Rfam's summary of the family: 7SK was discovered as an abundant small nuclear RNA in the mid-70s but a possible function has only recently been suggested. Two independent studies have found that 7SK RNA binds the CDK9/cyclin T complex (known as elongation factor P-TEFb). The record is from Ensembl. NCBI's taxonomy places the organism in Eukaryota, Metazoa, Chordata, Mammalia, Rodentia, Cricetidae.
AGAUAUGAGGGUGAUCUAGCUCAUGUGGCUGGCUAGGUGGGUGCCCCGUCCUCCCUCACCACUCCAUGUGCAUCCGUCCUGAAUGUGUGUGCUCAGAGAGGAUGACCUUCUCUGGAUAGAGGAGGACUGGUCUUUGGUCAAGGGUAUAUGAGUAGCUGCACUCACAGAUGCUAGCCCCAGGCUAUUAAACACAGCAAAACUUCCAAUCACAAUAGAGGCAGAAAAUGAGAGAUUACAUGAUUUUUAAAAAUUAUUU